Long non-coding RNA from Ceratitis capitata (Mediterranean fruit fly), 1017 nucleotides. RefSeq lists it as uncharacterized. The transcript is spliced from 2 exons. Lineage: Eukaryota; Metazoa; Arthropoda; Insecta; Diptera; Tephritidae. The record is from RefSeq and is a predicted model, not a curated record.
ACAAAAUCAAACAGCAGAUAUGUUUGUUGCCUUCUAUUUCACUAGUAAUAAAAUUUACAGGGUAAUGACAGUUCAGUAAGCUCAGAAUACGAAAUGGUACAAAUUUUUAAUACCUAGGUAAAUUUUGUUACCUCGACAGAAUUGGCCUGUAAAGCGCAUCUGUCAGUUAAGUUGCAGUUAACUUAACGCCAACAUUAAGUGGCGAUUAUGUCUUAACCAGAAGAUAUUUUAACAUUUGGAAAUUGUAAAAUAAUUAAUAAAAUAGUAUUUUGUCCGACGUUGGCCUUAAAAUAAAUUCUAUUAUGGGAAAUAUGGAACGUACUGCCUGUCUGCCUGCGCUCAGAUGCUAUUUAUAGGAAAAGAUAUAUGAUGAAGUUUUUAUUCGUAGUUUUCGUCUUUCCAAAAAUAGUGUAAAAUACGUUUGGAAAAAAAUAGAAAGCAAAAUUAGAAGCAAGACUGAAAGGAACAAAGCGGCGGAAAUUUCGCUUCUAACAUUAGGUUUUUGUGCAUCGGGAAGUGUUUUUAUUUUUGUUCCGUUGUUGGACACAACAAAAGUAGCGACUGUGAGUCGAGUGGUAAAUAGUAUCCAUUGCUACCGCUGCACUUGUCCGAUCAUUUCUCAGAACACCGAAAAAAGCAGAGAAAUUUAGAGCAUAAUGUACAUAUCGAAAUCCAAUCACCUGGAGAAGAAAAUUCCGAAGGCUAUCGAAGUUGCAAACAGUACUUGUAAAACGGAAGAAAGGGACUUUGUAUGAAGGUGACCUGGUUCUGGACAUGAUAGCUUUGUUCUUAAUAGCUGUCUGAAAGUCCGGUCUGAGCAAAACAAAUUUAGGGACUUCCUUUAAUUGAGUGGUAGUGGUUAUGGUUUCUCAGCAACUACAUGAUUUGUCAACUUCUACAUCCCAAUAUUCGCGUUGAACGUCUUUACAAUGAAUAUCAAGUAUGUACUCGAAAUACGACGGCUAAAUUAACAUCUUCCAAUGUUAACAUUGAAUAAAUAAUAAUUAUAAACAUUUA